RNAcentral lists this ribosomal RNA (460 nucleotides) under uncultured bacterium. RNAcentral's name for it is "partial 16S ribosomal RNA". It matches the Rfam family "Bacterial small subunit ribosomal RNA", at positions 338 to 795 of the family's 1533-position model. The record is from RNAcentral.
CCUACGGGUGGCAGCAGUGAGGAAUAUUGGUCAAUGGACGAGAGUCUGAACCAGCCAAGUAGCGUGAAGGAUGACUGCCCUAUGGGUUGUAAACUUCUUUUAUAUGGGAAUAAAAUGUUCCACGUGUGGGCUUUUGUAUGUACCAUAUGAAUAAGGAUCGGCUCACUCCGUGCCAGCAGCCGCGGUAAUACGGAGGAUCCGGACGUUAUACGGAUUUAUUGGGUUUAAAGGGAGCGUAGGUGGAUUGUUAAGCCAGUUGUGAAAGUUUGCGGCUCAACCGUAAAAGUGCAGUUGAAACUGGCAGUCUUGAGUACAGUAGAGGUGGGCGGAAUUCGUGGUGUAGCGGUGAAAUGCUUAGAUAUCACGAAGAACGCCGAUUGCGAAGGCAGCUCACUGGACUGCAACUGACACUGAGGCUCGAAAGUGUGGGUAUCAAACAGGAUUAGAUACCCGUGUAGUC